RNAcentral lists this ribosomal RNA (491 nucleotides) under uncultured bacterium. RNAcentral's name for it is "partial 16S ribosomal RNA". It matches the Rfam family "Bacterial small subunit ribosomal RNA", at positions 29 to 506 of the family's 1533-position model. The record is from RNAcentral.
AGUGAACGCUGGCGGUAGGCCUAACACAUGCAAGUCGAACGGCAGCACAGUAAGAGCUUGCUCUUACGGGUGGCGAGUGGCGGACGGGUGAGGAAUACAUCGGAAUCUACUUUUUCGUGGGGGAUAACGUAGGGAAACUUACGCUAAUACCGCAUACGACCUACGGGUGAAAGCAGGGGAUCUUCGGACCUUGCGCGAUUGAAUGAGCCGAUGUCGGAUUAGCUAGUUGGCGGGGUAAAGGCCCACCAAGGCGAGGAUCCGUAGCUGGUCUGAGAGGAUGAUCAGCCACACUGGAACUGGGACACGGUCCAGACCCCUAGGGGGGGCAGGAGGGGGGAAUUUUGGAAAAUGGGCGAAACCCUGACCCAGCCAUCCCGCGGGGGUGAAGAAGGCCUUCGGGUUGUAAAGCCUUUUUGUUGGGAAAAAAAAGAAGCAGGUUAAUACCCCGCUGUUCUGACGGUACCCAAAGAAUAAGCACCGGCUAACUUCGU